ACCUGGGCAGAUCCGUUCUUUCUGGCUGAGACAGGGAGGCUGGGCAGGAGAGAAGGGGGUAAGGGUCCCUUCCGGCUGGGUUUGGGGCAGGUGGCAGGUCCAGGACCCCCUCUGGUCUUCAGGAUGGAAGGCUGGGUCUGACUCCCACUCUCCUCAUUUACUUCCUGGUUCACACUGCUCUGAUUGGCUGUGGCCCAGGGCUGAGCCGUGACGGCGACCACCGAGAUAGUGACCAUUUUCUGGGGGCGUGAGGGAGCAGUCUUGGUGGGGAUCAGAGAACCGUUUCCGGUCAGCCAUAGUAGUGUGACAGGUGUUGUUGUACAGGGUCAGCCAUAGUAGUGUGACAGGUGUUGUUGUACAGGGUCAGCCAUAGUAGUGUGACAGGUGUUGUUGUACAGGGUCAGCCAUAGUGGUAUGGUAGGUGUUGUUGUACAGGGUCAGCCAUAGUGGUAUGGUAGGUGUUGUUGUACAGGGUCAGCCAUAGUGGUAUGGUAGGUGUUGUUGUACAGGGUCAGCCAUAGUGGUAUGGUAGGUGUUGUUGUACAGGGUCAGCCAUAGUGGUAUGGUAGGUGUUAUAGGGUGCUGGUCCAAUGCUCUAACCACUAGGCUACCUGCCGCCCUAUAUAGGGAAUAGGGUGCUGGCCCAACGCCCUAACCACUAGGCUACCUGCCGCCCUAUAUAGGGAAUAGGGUGCUGGCCCAGCGCCCUAACAACUUGGCUACCUGCCGCCCUAUAUAGGAACUAGGGUGCCAUUGGGCCUCAGGCUGGGCACAGUGAGCCAGCCAGCAGCCUCCUGUUAUACUACUGCAUUAUUCAUAUGAGAUGGAAGAGGAUCAGGAAGCACACGGUAACAAGACUACACACACCUCUCCCUCCACAUACUACAAGUACAAACCACACAAUUCUCCCUCCACAUACUACCAGGGAGAACUACAAGUACCAAUCACACCUUGAAGGGAGGCAGUAGUAUUUAGAUAGACAGCGAACACGUGAGCAUCCAAUCACAAGAGAUGUACUAUACAACUGUUGCACAUCCUACAGAAGAACUAAAUACACACACACAGACACAGAGGGACACACACACACACACACACAGACACAGAGGGACACACACACACACACACAGACACAGAGGGACACACACACACACACACACAGACACAGAGGGACACACACACACACACAGACAGAGGGACACACACACACACAGACACAGAGGGACACACACACACACAGACACAGAGGGACACACACACACACACAGACAGAGGGACACACACACACACACACAGACAGAGGGACACACACACACACAGACAGAGGGACACACACACACAGACAGAGGGACACACACACACACAGACAGAGGGACACACACACACAGACAGAGGGACACACACACACACAGACAGAGGGACACACACACACAGACAGAGGGACACACACACACACAGACAGAGGGACACACACACACACAGACAGAGGGACACACACACACACAGAGACAGAGGGACACACACACACACAGACAGAGGGACACACACACACACAGACAGAGGGACACACACACACACACAGACAGAGGGACACACACACACACAGACAGAGUGACACACACACACACAGACAGAGGGACACACACACACACAGACAGAGGGACACACACACACACAGACAGAGGGACACACACACACACACAGACAGAGGGACACACACACACACAGACAGAGGGACACACACACACACAGACAGAGGGACACACACACACACAGACAGAGGGACACACACACACA
This 1794-nucleotide long non-coding RNA is filed under the name Salmo salar (Atlantic salmon). RNAcentral describes it as "lncRNA (ENSSSAG00000097935.1)". Lineage: Eukaryota; Metazoa; Chordata; Actinopteri; Salmoniformes; Salmonidae. The record is from RNAcentral.